GAUGAACGCUGGCGGCGUGCCUAAUACAUGCAAGUCGAGCGAACAGACGAUGAGCUUGCUCCUCUGACGUUAGCGGCGGACGGGUGAGUAACACGUGGAUAACCUACCUCUAAUACUGGGAUAACUUCGGGAAACCGGAGCUAAUACCGGAUAAUAUAUUGAACCGCAUGGUUCAAUAGUGAAAGACGGUUUUGCUGUCACUUAUAGAUGGAUCCGCGCCGCAUUAGCUAGUUGGUAAGGUAACGGCUUACCAAGGCAACGAUGCGUAGCCGACCUGAGAGGGUGAUCGGCCACACUGGAACUGAGACACGGUCCAGACUCCUACGGGAGGCAGCAGUAGGGAAUCUUCGGCAAUGGGCGAAAGCCUGACGGAGCAACGCCGCGUGAGUGAUGAAGGUCUUCGGAUCGUAAAACUCUGUUAUUAGGGAAGAACAAAUGUGUAAGUAACUAUGCACGUCUUGACGGUACCUAAUCAGAAAGCCACGGCUAACUACGUG
This 497-nucleotide ribosomal RNA is filed under the name uncultured bacterium. RNAcentral's name for it is "partial 16S ribosomal RNA". It matches the Rfam family "Bacterial small subunit ribosomal RNA", at positions 28 to 507 of the family's 1533-position model. The record is from RNAcentral.